RNAcentral lists this ribosomal RNA (207 nucleotides) under uncultured bacterium. Its description in RNAcentral is "partial 16S ribosomal RNA". It matches the Rfam family "Bacterial small subunit ribosomal RNA", at positions 568 to 774 of the family's 1533-position model. The record is from RNAcentral.
CGCGUAGGCGGCUUUUCAAGCGUGCGGUGAAAGCUCGGGGCUUAACUCCGAGUCUGCCGUGCGAACUGGGAGGCUUGAGUCUGGUAGAGGUCGAUGGAAUUCCGGGUGUAGCGGUGGAAUGCGUAGAGAUCCGGAAGAACACCGGCGGCGAAGGCGGUCGACUGGGCCAGUACUGACGCUGAGGCGCGACAGCGUGGGGAGCAAACA